GACGAACGCUGGCGGCGUGCCUAACACAUGCAAGUCAACUUGACUGAAGGAGCAAUCUGACAGUAGAGUGGCGCAAGGGUGCGUAACGCGUAAGUAACUUGCCCAAGGUAAGGAAUAACGUCGAGAAAUCGGCGCUAAUACCUCAUAAUGCAGCGGAUCCGCAUGGAUAUGUUGUUAAAGGUUUACCGCCUUGGGAUAGGCUUGCGUCUGAUUAGCUAGUUGGUGUGGUAACGGCACACCAAGGCUACGAUCAGUAACUGGUCUGAGAGGAUGAUCAGUCACACUGGAACUGAGACACGGUCCAGACUCCUACGGGAGGCAGCAGUGAGGAAUAUUGGGCAAUGCUCGAAAGAGUGACCCAGCAACGCCGCGUGGAGGAUGAAGGUAUUCUAUAUCGUAAACUCCUGUGAGAGCAGACGAAAGACAGAUUAUUAAUCUGGAUGACUGUAUGCUCAGAGGAAGCCCGGCUAACUACG
This 476-nucleotide ribosomal RNA is filed under the name uncultured bacterium. Its description in RNAcentral is "bacterial SSU rRNA". It matches the Rfam family "Bacterial small subunit ribosomal RNA", at positions 28 to 505 of the family's 1533-position model. The record is from RNAcentral.